GUUUUCUCUCUCGAACAGGAUAUGUUCUAUAGGAUCGUACAACUGCAUCUUUAACAAUUAAAUAGGCAAGCAACAAACUCUGACUGAUGAUACGUGGCAUCUGGACUAAAGCGCGAUUAACGGUUCAAUUUCUCUUUGGAUUGGGCUGUGGAGGAUCGUUCUUCGUUGGUUCCACCGGCUAAGAUUGCCCUGAGGCUUUCUGACAGAUA
Dendrobium catenatum is the source of this 209-nucleotide small nucleolar RNA. RefSeq annotates it as small nucleolar RNA U3. NCBI's taxonomy places the organism in Eukaryota, Viridiplantae, Streptophyta, Magnoliopsida, Asparagales, Orchidaceae. The transcript has a single exon. The record is from RefSeq and is a predicted model, not a curated record.